CUGAGCAUUUUUGCGAAGGAAGGACGGAGGAAAAAAGGAGGAGCGCAUUAUUGGUUUUGCGUUGGGAAUAUAAAGUUCUGUUUACCUGGCAAAUCCGGUAAACUGAGUUAAAUCUCAAAGAGCGCAUAUUCCCAAAAGAUUAAGUUUUACUUAAUCAAUUUUUCCGAAGAGCCUUCCGAGAAAAAUUUCUAAGCGAUAAAAAUGUUCAGUCCGUACCGUAAACCGACACAGGUGGGUGAGGCGAGGAGCCUCAGGGGAACGGGUGAUUCCUCGUUAAGGAACUCGGCAAAAAAGCGGGCGUAACUUUGGAAUAAGCCCUCCGAGCACUCAAGUUUUUGAGUGCUCGGCGCAGCGAAAGUAUCCCUGGCGACUGUUUACCAAAAACACAGGUCCCUGCGAACCCGUAAGGGGAUGUAUAGGGGCUGAUGCCUGUCCGAUGCCAGAAGGUUAAGCUUGGCGGUCAAUUGAUUUUUAUCAGUUGGCUGACUGAGUUAAGCCCUGGUCAAUGACAGCCGUAACUAUAACGGUUCUAAGGUUAGGAAGCGCUAGCCUUAGUAAAAUUCGACUAUAUGCUGGAAAAUCUGGUGUAUCCAAGACUACUAUGGUAUAAUGUAACCAUAGAAUAUGGUUAAUAUUAUGCCAAGUAAAAAUGUCUUUGGUGCAGAUAAUCAGCAGGAAAGACUCAAAAUCGCUUAUUGGAUAGUAGGUUUUACUGAUGGAGAGGGGUGUUUUUCAAUUGCUGUUAUAAAGAACAAAACUACUAAAUUCGGGACACAAAUUUUUCCUGAAUUUGUAAUUACGCAAGGAGAAAAAAGUUUAGUUGCAUUAAAAAAAGUUAAAAAUUUUUUUGAUUGUGGAAAUAUUUUUGUUAACAGACGAUACGAUGAUCAUAACGAAAAUUUAUAUCGUUAUUGUGUGCGUUCUUUAUAUGAUUUAGAUAAGAAAAUAAUUCCGUUUUUUGAAGAACAUCAUCUCCAGACAUAUAAACGAAAUGAUUUUUUGAUUUUUAAGAAGGUUAUAAAAUUAAUGAUAAAGAAAGAACAUUUAACUGAAAAAGGAAGAAGAAAAGUACUUAUGUUUAUCAGUGGAAUGAAUCAUAAGAAGAAGAGAUUUUGAGAAUCCUCAGAGACCAUACGUCGAAUCGCAGCACUCAAUGAUUUGAGUGCUCGGAAGAUAUAGUCCGAACUCUAUGGCGACAUAGAGAGGUAAAUAAAUUUUGCCCUUCCAAAAUGGAAGUAACAUAAUUGAGCGCAAUUCCUUGUCAGGUAAGUUCUGACGUGCAUGAAAGGUAUAACGACUGGGGAACUGUCUCAACGAGGAGCCCGGUGAAAAUGCGUGUCCAGCGAAGACGCUGGGUACCCGCAGCUAGACGAAAAGACCCUAGGAGCUUUACUGUAGUUUGGUAUUGAUUUUAUUUGCAAGAUGCGUAGCGUAGUGGGGAGGCUUUGAAGCCCUGAUUUCGGUUGGGGUGGAGCCGCCAAUGAAACACCCAUCUUUUUGUGAAUAAAAUCUAACCUUAAAGGCAAAAACUUUAGGGGACAGUGCUUGAUGGGCAGUUUUUGUGGGGCGCAAUCCUCCUAAAAAGUAACGGAGGAAUCUAUUAAGGUUGGCUAUCCGCCAAUGGAAACGGCGGAGGUAGUGUAAAGGCAAAAGCCAGCUUUAUAGCAAGGAAGACAUUCCGCGCUAUUGCGAAAGCAGAGCUUAGUGACCCGAUGCGUCAUUGUAGAAGGCGCAAAGACACUGGACAAAAGUUACCCUAGGGAUAACAGGCUAGUGGAGCCCGAAAGUCCAAAUCGACGGCUCCGCUCGGCACCUCGAUGUCGGCUCAUCCUAUCCUGGCGCUGAAGAAGGUGCCAAGGGUUUGGCUGUUCGCCAAUUAAAAGGAUACGCGAGCUGGGUUCAGACCGUUGUGAAACAGGUCGGUCUCUAUCUGCUGUGGGCGUUCGAUACUUGAGGGGAGCUGGUCUUAGUACGAGAGGACUAGGCUGGACGAACCUCUGGUGUACCGGUUGUCCUACCAAGGGCAUUGCCGGGUAGCUAUGUUCGGAAGGGAUAAGCGCUGAAAGCAUCUAAGCGCGAAGCCCACCCCAAGAUUAGGUAUCGUGGCUUUAAAAAGCGAGAGAUACCUCAAAGACUAUGAGGUUGAUAGGCUCUAGGUGGAAGUGCUGUAAGGCAUUAAGCCGAGGAGUACUAAAUUAUCGAAGCCACUUUU
RNAcentral lists this ribosomal RNA (2212 nucleotides) under activated sludge metagenome. Its description in RNAcentral is "bacterial LSU rRNA". It matches the Rfam family "Bacterial large subunit ribosomal RNA", at positions 1443 to 2925 of the family's 2925-position model. The record is from RNAcentral.